UACGGAGGAUGCAAGCGUUAUCCGGAAUGAUUGGGCGUAAAGCGUCCGCAGGUGGCUAUGUAAGUCUGCUGUUAAAGAGUGAGGCUCAACCUCAUAAGAGCAGUGGAAACUACAUGGCUAGAGUGCGUUCGGGGCAGAGGGAAUUCCUGGUGUAGCGGUGAAAUGCGUAGAGAUCAGGAAGAACACCGGUGGCGAAAGCGCUCUGCUAGGCCGUAACUGACACUGAGGGACGAAAGCUAGGGGAGCGAAUGGG
RNAcentral lists this ribosomal RNA (253 nucleotides) under uncultured bacterium. Its description in RNAcentral is "partial 16S ribosomal RNA". It matches the Rfam family "Bacterial small subunit ribosomal RNA", at positions 524 to 776 of the family's 1533-position model. The record is from RNAcentral.